CCUCCAACGGUUUUCAUUACGACGUCACUUCCUUCCGCUCGUCGGCGCCUGAUUUUAGCGUUUUUUUAAUUAGCCUAAUUUGGCACACCUGUGAUACAUGGAAACAAUGAGGACGUUAUUGGGUAGAUUCCACUACACUUUAAACAGGCCGAGAGGACUUCAUAUAAUAACUGACAAUAUGACGCUGUCGCACCGGUAAUCCCCCCCCCACCUCUGCUCCAUCACAAGGAUUGUUCCUGUGGAUGUCAACGUCUGGACAUUGUUUUGACCUCAUCUCUUCCUCACAUCAGAC
Plectropomus leopardus (leopard coralgrouper) is the source of this 292-nucleotide non-coding RNA. The record is from RefSeq and is a predicted model, not a curated record. Lineage: Eukaryota; Metazoa; Chordata; Actinopteri; Perciformes; Serranidae.